AGAGUUUGAUCCUGGCUCAGAUUGAACGCUGGCGGCAUUUACACAUGCAAGUCGAACGGUAACGCGGGGGCAACCCUGGCGACGAGUGGCGAACGGGUGAGUAAUACAUCGGAACGUGCCCGGUAGUGGGGGAUAGCUCGGCGAAAGCCGGAUUAAUCCGCAUACGACCUAAGGGUGAAAGCGGGGGAUCGCAAGCCUCGCGCUAUUGGAGCGGCCGAUGGCAGAUUAGCUUGUUGGUGAGGUAAAGGCUCACCAAGGCGACGAUCUGUAGCUGGUCUGAGAGGACGACCAGCCACACUGGGACUGAGACACGGCCCAGACUCCUACGGGAGGCAGCAGUGGGGAAUUUUGGACAAUGGGCGCAAGCCUGAUCCAGCAAUGCCGCGUGUGUGAUGAAGGCCUUCGGGUUGUAAAGCACUUUUGGUGGGAACGAAACGGUCCGGGCUAAUACCCUGGACUACUGACGGUACCCGCAGAAUAAGCACCGGCUAACUACGUGCCAGCAGCCGCGGUAAUACGUAGGGUGCAAGCGUUAAUCGGAAUUACUGGGCGUAAAGCGUGCGCAGGCGGUUUUGUAAGACCGAUGUGAAAUCCCCGGGCUUAACCUGGGAACUGCAUUGGUGACUGCAAGGCUUGAGUGUGUCAGAGGGAGGUGGAAUUCCGCGUAGCAGUGAAAUGCGUAGAUAUGCGGAGGAACACCGAUGGCGAAGGCAGCCUCCUGGGAUAACACUGACGCUCAUGCACGAAAGCGUGGGGAGCAAACAGGAUUAGAUACCCUAGUAGUCC
Molecule: ribosomal RNA, 786 nt
Filed under: uncultured bacterium
Lineage: Bacteria
Description: bacterial SSU rRNA
Rfam family: Bacterial small subunit ribosomal RNA
Source: RNAcentral